Molecule: long non-coding RNA, 497 nt
Organism: Hibiscus syriacus
Lineage: Eukaryota; Viridiplantae; Streptophyta; Magnoliopsida; Malvales; Malvaceae
Exons: 3
Source: RefSeq, a predicted model, not a curated record
UUUUGAUAUCUAUCGGACAAAGUGAGGGCGCCCAAGAUGGUGCGGAAUGUAUUGAAUAAAAUUGAAGAAAUUAUACCGAAAUGGAAGAUUGUACCGACGAAAAAUGUCAUCGACUUGUCAUUCAAGGAUCCGAUUAAGCGCACAAGGGCGAGGACACUCGAUCAAGAACUAUAAGUUGAUAUACCAAGAAAAACCUAGACUGAAAACAGCGCUGGAACUGCUGAGAACUAGCAUCAGCCUUGAACGUAACUUAAAGGAGGUGACAUUCCCCUUCCUGAAGUUGCACGGGUAAGCAGAUACAGUAAUAGAUCCUGAAGUAAGCAAGGCCUUGUAUGAGAAAGCAAGCAGCAGCGAUAAAACCAUAAAAUUGUAUCCAGGGACGUGGCAUGCAUUGACAUCGGGUGAGCCCGAUGAAAACGUCCAAAUCGUUUUUGAAGAUAUCGCGGCAUGGCUCGACAAAACACUACGACACUGCAACACGUUAAGCAACUUCCUCA